GACGAACGCUGGCGGCGUGCUUAACACAUGCAAGUCGAACGAAGAGCGAUGGAAGCUUGCUUCUAUCACUCUUAGUGGCGAACGGGUGAGUAACGCGUAAUCAACCUGCCCUUCAGAGGGGGACAACAGUUGGAAACGACUGCUAAUACCGCAUACGAUCUAACCUCGGCAUCGAGGAUAGAUGAAAGGUGGCCUCUACAUGUAAGCUAUCACUGAAGGAGGGGAUUGCGUCUGAUUAGCUAGUUGGAGGGGUAACGGCCCACCAAGGCGAUGAUCAGUAGCCGGUCUGAGAGGAUGAACGGCCACAUUGGGACUGAGACACGGCCCAGACUCCUACGGGAGGCAGCAGUGGGGAAUCUUCCGCAAUGGACGAAAGUCUGACGGAGCAACGCCGCGUGAGUGAUGACGGCCGUCGGGUUGUAAAGCUCUGUUAAUCGGGACGAAAGGCCUUCUUGCGAAUAGUUAGAAGGAUUGACGGUACCGGAAUAGAAAGCCACGGCUAACUACGUG
This 510-nucleotide ribosomal RNA is filed under the name uncultured bacterium. Its description in RNAcentral is "partial 16S ribosomal RNA". It matches the Rfam family "Bacterial small subunit ribosomal RNA", at positions 28 to 507 of the family's 1533-position model. The record is from RNAcentral.